AGUGAACGCUGGCGGUAGGCCUAACACAUGCAAGUCGAACGGCAGCACAGUAAGAGCUUGCUCUUACGGGUGGCGAGUGGCGGACGGGUGAGGAAUACAUCGGAAUCUACUUUUUCGUGGGGGAGAACGUAGGGAAACUUACGCUAAUACCGCAUACGACGUACGGGUGAAAGCAGGGGAUCUUCGGACCUUGCGCGAUUGAAUGAGCCGAUGUCGGAUUAGCUAGUUGGCGGGGUAAAGGCCCACCAAGGCGACGAUCCGUAGCUGGUCUGAGAGGAUGAUCAGCCACACUGGAACUGAGACGCGGUCCAGACUCCUACGGGAGGCAGCAGUGGGGAAUAUUGGACAAUGGGCGCAAGCCUGAUCCAGCCAUACCGCGUGUGUGAAGAAGGCCUUCGGGUUGUAAAGCCCUUUUGGUGGGGAAGAAAAGCAGCAAGUUAAUACCCCGCUGUUCUGACGGUACCCAAAGAAUAAGCACCGGCUAACUUCGUG
RNAcentral lists this ribosomal RNA (492 nucleotides) under uncultured bacterium. RNAcentral's name for it is "partial 16S ribosomal RNA". It matches the Rfam family "Bacterial small subunit ribosomal RNA", at positions 29 to 507 of the family's 1533-position model. The record is from RNAcentral.